Molecule: long non-coding RNA, 2767 nt
Organism: Phyllopteryx taeniolatus (common seadragon)
Lineage: Eukaryota; Metazoa; Chordata; Actinopteri; Syngnathiformes; Syngnathidae
Exons: 3
Source: RefSeq, a predicted model, not a curated record
CCACGUUGAAUUCAUGAGGAAUUGGAAUAUUAAUUAGCCGCCGCUGGAGCAGGCUAAUUAGCAUCGCUAAUAGGCUAACUGGAGAAUAAAUGCGCGUUUGCGCAUGUUAGCCGGGUGUUUGAAGAAAAAAUAAAAGGCUCGUUUUCAAGACGCUGUGGUCGGCUGCUGUGAAGUUGAAAAAAAAAAAAUCAUGAAAAGAAUGAAGUGCUAACGCCGCCGGUGCAACCUCUUAUGGAUUCAUUGAUCGCUUAAGACGAGCGAGGAGCUCGACGAGGUCCGCCGCGGCCUCGUCUUGUGCCGCAAACACGCUGACGAUGGAGUCGUCCACUGCGCUCGGCUGACGAGUCGCGGGUGAGCGGCGAAGGCGACCGCAGGAGAGGAAGCGAGAGCAUUUUCCUCCCCCAUUUGCUCUCAACCUCUCCCUCUUUUUUUCUCCCUCCCUUACUUGCUCCCCUUUUCUGUCCUUUUCUCUCCCCCUCACUUCCUCUCUUUCUCCCUCCUGUUCACCCCCUUCCUCUCUCCCUGUCCCUCUUAGUCUCUCUCCCCUCAUCCCCUCUCUCUUCCCCAGUCUCUCCCUUCUUCCUUCUCCACCCUCUCUCCCCCUUUCCCUCGCUCCCCUUCUCUCUCUCCACUCCCUCUCAUCCCUCUAUCUCGCUUUCUUACCCUCUCCUUUCCACCCUCUCUGCCCCCUCUUUCUCUCCCUCGCUCUCUCUCCUGCUUUCGCUGGCCCUCCUUCAAUCUCUUUCUCCCUCUCUCCCCUCCCUUCCUCUCUUUCUCUUAGCCUCCCCCUUUCUCCCCCACUCCCUCAUUUUUUCCUCUUUUCUGUCCUCUACCUUUCCCUCUUUCCUCCCUCCCUGUUCUUCUCUCUCUGCCUCUCCAUCUCUCCAUCACCGUCUUUCCCUCCCUUUCUCUCUCUCCUUCCCUCUAUGUCCUCUCCCCCUUUUAUCUCUUCCCCUCUCUCCGCCUCUCCCCCUCUUUCUCCCUCUCUCUACCGCCACUCUCAGCGUCCUCCAUCACGCCAAACGAGUGUGUCGAGGAGCACGGCGACCGCCCGCAGGAUUCGAGUGAGGCGAGGAAGAGGAGGAGCCCGCCAAGCCUUCCAGAAAGUCUUUAAUCAAAACAAGUUGCAACUUUUUGCUUUUUUGGAAGCGCGCCAUCAGGCCGCGUCGCGUUGAUGUCGGAAUAAAUGGAACGCUGACGGAUGAUGUCGGACCUUGGCGGCUGCGCGACGUCUUCUUGGAGAGCGCGGCCGCCUGUGACUCACUGUCUUGAAUAUCUCACACAACCGGCGGGACGCGCCGGCGCGGCGGAGUCGUUGGUGGAGUUGAAAGGAGACAGGAAGUCAGCCAUGAGCCCAUGAUGUCGCCUGGGGGGAGGACGCGACCUCGUGAUGCUCUCCGAACGAGAGACAGCCGCCGCCGCCGCCGCCGAUGCUUAAUUGACGCACAGUGUCGGCCCAGAGCAAUGCAUCGUGGGAAACACGGCCACGCCGAAGCAAGCUCAGUAACGCCCAAGAACGUUUUGAACAAAUUUGAUGAAUAGCAAAAAAGUUGCAAGAAUCCACACCUGAAAUGACACAGGAAGUCUGCCAUUUUGGUUCAAAGGCUUUUUGUCCGUUUCCACGGGUCCUCAAAGUUUUGGGGAAAUUUGACUUGGAAUCGUGAAAUUUGCUAGGCGUGUCUAUCAUGGGUAAACCCACAAAAGAGUCGAAAGGACCCAUGCCCAAGCGAAGGAUAUAUUGGUUUGGGAAAUUCAGCCGCGGAAGCCAAUUUCACUUCGCAGUAUGAAAUUUGGUCACGAGUCGCCCCACAGAAAGGUCUCAAGAAGCUAUGCCCGAAAAGACACAGGAAUCCUGACAUUUUGCUUUCAAUUGGCCCUGCUAGGGUCAUGAUUUUUUUUUUUAAUUCAGCCGCAGGAGCCCGAUUGAUUUGAAAACAUGAAAUUUGGUUCAAAAAAACAAAAAAAAGUCCCACAAUAAAGUCUCAAGAAGCCAUGGCCAAAAGUCACACGAAGCCUGUCAUUUUGGCUCUAAGUGGCCAUUUUAGGGUGAUUUUCUGGGAACUUGUCUAAGUGAUUUUGGCCUAUGCUACCAAAUUUAAAACAUGUACACAAGCAGCUAUGUAAUAAAUUUGUUAUUGCACACCACUGACGAAUAUCGGUGCAUAUUUUAUUCAAAAUCUGAAGGGUUCUUUCUUGGAAACAAAACCGUUAAUACCUUUUAAGUUAAAGAAUUUCACAAUUGUGUGGUAGGUGGUAGAUAACAGGUCUACUCUUACCUUUUGGAUGAAAAAAAGCUCAAACUAAGUAGUGUUGGAAAUCAUUAAAAAGCAAUAUUUCUUGCUCUAAAGAAAAACAAUGCUGCCCCCGAGUUGAAUCAGAUUAGAAAAUUGAUUACACAACACAUACUACCUACCGAUCGGACCUCAUUGGAAAACCAGUUUUUCACAGUCUGGCACGUCCCAGAUUCCCGCGGGGUAAAAAAAUGUUGCCCAUAAAUAAAACAAAAGAAAUAUUUGCGACAUUUGUUUGACUCCACCUCCCGCUGAGAGAAAGAUGGGAUGGAAAUGUCAACGUGGGGCGUCCAGUCCGCCUGUCAAAUGAAGACGAGGCGCACGGCUGAACGAUCACAGUCGUCGCCCCCCGCCGCGCCGGAUGACAAACUUGGGGAUGAAAGACGCCAAGAUGCCAGGCUUUAACACUUACAUACUGCUCGUUUUCCAUGCGGGAUGUAUUAAUUGCAUGUGUGAAAUUAAUAAAGGGAUGAUAA